CGCUGGCGGCGUGCUUUACACAUGCAAGUCGAGCGAGGCGGCCCGCAAGGGGUCAGUCGAGCGGCGAACGGGUGAGUAACGCGUGGAUAACCUGCCCAGAGGUGGGGGAUAACCCGGGGAAACUCGGGCUAAUACCGCAUAGGACCGUGAGGUCAAAGGGGGCUCGCAAGAGCUCUCGCCAUUGGAGGGGUCCGCGUACGAUUAGCUAGUUGGUAGGGUAAUGGCCUACCAAGGCGACGAUCGUUAGCCGGCCUGAGAGGGUGAUCGGCCACACUGGAACUGAGACACGGUCCAGACUCCUACGGGAGGCAGCAGUGGGGAAUUUUGCGCAAUGGGCUAACGCCUGACGCAGCAACGCCGCGUGGAGGAUGAAGGUCUUUGGAUUGUAAACUCCUGUCAGCAGGGAAAAAGCGACCUGACCUCAUACGUCAGGGAGUUGAUUGUACCUGCAGAGGAAGCCCCGGCUAACUCUGUGCCAGCAGCCGCGGUAAUACAGAGGGGGCAAGCGUUAUUCGGAAUUAUUGGGCGUAAAGGGCGCGUAGCGGCUUGGCAAGUGGAUGGUGAAAUCCCUC
RNAcentral lists this ribosomal RNA (572 nucleotides) under uncultured bacterium. RNAcentral describes it as "bacterial SSU rRNA". It matches the Rfam family "Bacterial small subunit ribosomal RNA", at positions 34 to 605 of the family's 1533-position model. The record is from RNAcentral.